RNAcentral lists this ribosomal RNA (429 nucleotides) under uncultured bacterium. RNAcentral's name for it is "bacterial SSU rRNA". It matches the Rfam family "Bacterial small subunit ribosomal RNA", at positions 355 to 776 of the family's 1533-position model. The record is from RNAcentral.
UGGGGAAUAUUGCACAAUGGGCGCAAGCCUGAUGCAGCGACGCUGCGUGGGGGAUGAAGGUUUUCGGAUUGUAAACCCCUGUUAAACGGGAAGAAAGACCAGUAGUGAAUAACUGCUGGGGAUGACGGUACCGUUAGAGAAAGCACCGGCAAACUUCGUGCCAGCAGCCGCGGUAAUACGAAGGGUGCGAGCGUUAUUCGGAAUAACUGGGCGUAAAGAGCGUGACGGCGGUUUUUUAAGUCGUUUGUGAAAUCGUUUGGCUUAACUGAGCGUAUGCAGAUGAUACUGAAAGACUAGAGUGCAGGAGAGAAAGGUAGAAUUCUCGGAGUAGCGGUAAAAUGCGUAGAUCUCGAGAGGAAUACCGGUUGCGAAGGCGGCCUUUUGGCCUGUAACUGACGCUUAAGCGCGAAAGCGUGGGGAGCAAACAGG